This 253-nucleotide ribosomal RNA is filed under the name uncultured bacterium. RNAcentral's name for it is "partial 16S ribosomal RNA". It matches the Rfam family "Bacterial small subunit ribosomal RNA", at positions 524 to 776 of the family's 1533-position model. The record is from RNAcentral.
UACGUAGGGGGCAAGCGUUGUCCGGAAUCAUUGGGCGUAAAGAGCGCGUAGGCGGCCCGAUAAGUCCGCUGUGAAAGUCAAGGGCUUAACCCUUGAAUGCCGGUGGAAACUGUCGGGCUAGAGUCCGGAAGAGGCGAGUGGAAUUCCUGGUGUAGCGGUGAAAUGCGCAGAUAUCAGGAGGAACACCGAUGGCGAAGGCAGCUCGCUGGGACGGUACUGACGCUGAGACGCGAAAGCGUGGGGAGCGAACAGG